AACGAACGCUGGCGGUGUGCUUAACACAUGCAAGUCGAACGAGAAAGUUUCCUUCGGGGAACUAGUAAAGUGGCGCAAGGGUGAGUAACACGUGAAUAAUCUGCCCUCGAGAUCGGGAUAACUUGGCGAAAGCUAAGCUAAUACCGGAUAAGACCACAUUUCAUAAGAAAUGGGGGAAAAGGAGUCUCAAUCUUCACUCGAGGAUGGGUUCGCGGACCAUUAGCUUGUUGGUGAGAUAAAAGCUCACCAAGGCUACGAUGGAUAGCCGACCUGAGAGGGUGAACGGCCACACUGGAACUGAGACACGGUCCAGACUCCUACGGGAGGCAGCAGUGGGGAAUAUUGCACAAUGGAGGCAACUCUGAUGCAGCAAUGUCGCGUGAGUGAAG
Molecule: ribosomal RNA, 389 nt
Filed under: uncultured Nitrospina sp.
Lineage: Bacteria; Pseudomonadati; Nitrospinota; Nitrospinia; Nitrospinales; Nitrospinaceae
Description: bacterial SSU rRNA
Rfam family: Bacterial small subunit ribosomal RNA
Source: RNAcentral